Non-coding RNA from Coturnix japonica (Japanese quail), 1144 nucleotides. The record is from RefSeq and is a predicted model, not a curated record. NCBI's taxonomy places the organism in Eukaryota, Metazoa, Chordata, Aves, Galliformes, Phasianidae.
GCCUGGGCUGGUGGUUGGUGACCCUGCACAUAGCAGGGGGUUGGAACUGGAUGAUCAUUGUGGUCCUUUUCAACCCAGGCCAUUCUGUCAUUCUAUGAAGACAUGAGUUGACUUUCACUUUUCUUGAAGAGAUUUUGUUUUCACAGAAUCAUCAUGUGAAUUGAAAGGGACACUUAAAGGUCAUCUGGCUUAACCCCCCUACAGUGAACAGGGACACCUACAGUUAGAUCAGGUGCUCAGAGCCCCAGCCAGCCUCACCCUGAAUAUCUCCUGGGAUGAGUCCUAACACCAGCUCUGUGGCUGCCUUUGUUCUAGUGCUUCAGUUCCCUUCAUUUGAAAAACCUUUCCCUUACGUCCAGUCUUUUCCCUUAUAUGCAGCCUCUUCUUUGCUUGAGGAGUGUUUAUCUGUUCGGUUUUUAGGCUCUCCCACCUGUCUACAGCCAAGUCAGCAAAGACAAAUGGAAGGUUUGGCCAAACACAAUUUGCCUUGAAGUGACAACCAGCCACAGAAACGAGCAUUUCAAUAUCCUUCCCUUCUUUUCCCUGCAGUGAAAAGUUAACUGGAAACACAUCUGGGUUGUGCAGUGUGACCUAAAGCUGCCCCUGGAAGAGAUGCAUUAGCAAGGCCUCCUGUGAGAGCACCAAGAUCCCACCAGUCUCUCAGGAGUGUCAGAAAGUAAAAGGCACCACGUAAAUAAGCUUCUAUUCGAUGACACAUGAAAGCACGUCCAGCAGACGAGGCACGAUGGAAGAGCCGUAUUCACACCCACAUCAACAGCUCCAGAUGGCCAGCAGAACUCCCAGCAUGAUUCCAUACUGCAGCCAUAGAGGACGCCUUACCUACAGCCAGGUGAUACUGCAUGGAACAGCAGACACGAUGACCCCAUACAAUAAAGGAACCAAGCUCAGCUCCUCCAACCACACGCCUGCAAUGAGGCCUGGGGACAGAACCCCUGCUGUGCCCCCACCAUCUCCACAUCAUCACCCUGUGCUGCUCAGCCUCCUUCCUGCCUUCUGCUCCCACCCGCAGCAAUUAGUGCCCACUCAGCUAUACUGAAACGUUCCCACAAGGCAACAUGAGCAGCUUCCACUUUUAACUUCAUCCUCCAGAAAUCCCACACCUGUGAUGCUUUGCCUAUUGUCA